UACGUAGGGGGCAAGCGUUGUCCGGAUUUAUUGGGCGUAGAGAGCGUGUAGGCGGCCAGACAAGUCUGCUGUGAAAACUCGAGGCUCAACCUCGAGCUGUCGGUGGAAACUGUCUGGCUAGAGUCCGGAAGAGGAGAGUGGAAUUCCUGGUGUAGCGGUGAAAUGCGCAGAUAUCAGGAAGAACACCUAUGGCGAAGGCAGCUCUCUGGGACGGUACUGACGCUGAGACGCGAAAGCGUGGGGAGCGAACAGG
This 253-nucleotide ribosomal RNA is filed under the name uncultured bacterium. Its description in RNAcentral is "partial 16S ribosomal RNA". It matches the Rfam family "Bacterial small subunit ribosomal RNA", at positions 524 to 776 of the family's 1533-position model. The record is from RNAcentral.